UCACUAUACAUUAAACUAGAAACUCGUAACCAACUUGGGGUAUUUGGCAAAGCGAAUAAAACCUCAUUCCACAGUGGGCUAUGCCACUUAUUGUGGUUCAUUACUGCCUUCUGGCCUACAAU
RNAcentral lists this small nucleolar RNA (122 nucleotides) under Nannospalax galili (Upper Galilee mountains blind mole rat). Its description in RNAcentral is "Small nucleolar RNA SNORA4 (ENSNGAG00000005104.1)". Lineage: Eukaryota; Metazoa; Chordata; Mammalia; Rodentia; Spalacidae. The record is from RNAcentral.